CAAGAGUACGUGAAACCGUUCAGGGGUAAACCUGAGAAACCCAAAAGAUCGAAUGGGGAGAUUCAUCGUCAGCUCACUUUGUAUAUAUGCAAGUUGUGAUAUGGGUUACUACUUGUAGUAUUGCCUGUACAUUCUUGUAUAUUUAUUCGCAAGGUGUUGUCGGCGUGCACUUCUCCCCUAGUAGGACGUCGCGACCCGUUGAGCGUCGGUCUACGGCCCAAGUGGUAGCUUUUGAUAAAUUUUAUUUAUUGAAAACCCUUGGUGUUUCCUGACUGGCACUCGUCGGUAUUCGUAUGGUAUUGAGCCGCAUAUUAUAUGCGUCCCUAUCCGUCGCAAGCGAGGUUAGUUAUUGAUAGUGCGGACCUAGUGCCGUCGUUGGUGCUAAUCAGCUGUUGGUUGUACGGAAUUCUAGGACUGGCUCGUUGAAAUACCGGUCAGCGAUGCUACUGCUUUGGGUACUUUCAGGACCCGUCUUGAAACACGGACCAAGAUUUUAUA
This 498-nucleotide ribosomal RNA is filed under the name Braconinae sp. RAW-2006b. Its description in RNAcentral is "eukaryotic LSU rRNA". Lineage: Eukaryota; Metazoa; Arthropoda; Insecta; Hymenoptera; Braconidae. The record is from RNAcentral.